RNAcentral lists this ribosomal RNA (371 nucleotides) under uncultured organism. RNAcentral describes it as "bacterial SSU rRNA". It matches the Rfam family "Bacterial small subunit ribosomal RNA", at positions 526 to 896 of the family's 1533-position model. The record is from RNAcentral.
CGUAGGGGCCAAGCGUUGUUCGGAUUUACUGGGCGUAAAGGGCGCGUAGGCGGCGAAUCAAGUCAGCUGUGAAAUCUCCGAGCUUAACUCGGAACGGUCAGCUGAUACUGUUUUGCUAGAGUGCAGAAAGGGCAACCGGAAUUCUUGGUGUAGCUGUGAAAUGCGUAGAUAUCAAGAGGAACACCUGAGGCGAAGGCGGGUUGCUAGGCUGACACUGACGCUGAAGCGCGAAAGCUAGGGUAGCAAACGGGAUUAGAUACCCCGGUAGUCCUAGCCCUAAACGAUGUAUGCUUGGUGUCUGGAGUUUUUAUCUCUGGGUGCCGUCGCUAACGCUUUUAGCAUACCGCCUGGGGAGUACGCACGCAAGUGUG